GACAUUGAGUGCGUAUUGUAUUAUGGUUUUCUCGCAGCAAGAUCGACUCGCUUGUUAACUCGGCUUGGUUUUCUGGAUGCAGGGUCAAUUUUGGAUUGAGAGUCUUUUCUGGACUUGUUUAUUUUGUGCGGCAGGUUAUGUAGAUUUUGGUGGAUAGGCUGAUGUUAGGACUGUUUGGACUGGUUUUGAGAUGCAGGGUUGUAAUAAUAAGGAUGAUGAUUUGGUGCGGCAGGGUCUUUAUUUGGUACUGUCUUAUUGAAUGUGCAGUUGGCUUCUUUUCUGUUUAUGCAGGGCUGACUUAUGUAUUUGUUAUAGUUUGUCUUGACAUGUUUGGAAUUGAUUUUUUCAGAUAAUUGGUAGGCUUGAAGGAAUUCUUGGUUAGGGCUUUGAUGGAGUCAGGAUCAUGGUGAAGACUUAUUGAAGAAGAUAGUAUAGGAACUAGGUCUAUGUGUCUUUUAUGGAAUAUUAUGUAAUGAUUUUCUUUGUUUUGUAAUAGGAUGAUGGUUGAAUAGUGUAAUGAACAAAACUUUUCCUUUUUGAGUGAAUUCCCAUACUUUUCUGAA
Vicia villosa (hairy vetch) is the source of this 563-nucleotide long non-coding RNA. RefSeq lists it as uncharacterized. The record is from RefSeq and is a predicted model, not a curated record. The transcript has 2 exons. NCBI's taxonomy places the organism in Eukaryota, Viridiplantae, Streptophyta, Magnoliopsida, Fabales, Fabaceae.